CGAGUGGAUACACCCCGAAUGGGCCCUGGGCCUGAGCUCCCCUCCGGGAUUUGCGCUGCCCUGGGGCUGUCUUGGGCUCCAGUGUUUUAACUCCUCCUCUGUGAGGGCGGCCUCUCGGUCUGCAGGAAAUUCACCCUGGAACUCAGGCGGAGGAAGCUGAGCCCUUGGCUUGUUCGCUGACUUGAGUGGUAAGGAGCCGCCCUGCAGGGAACCCCUGUCCUCUGAAGACGCAGGGUCCCCGUGGUGAC
This 248-nucleotide long non-coding RNA is filed under the name Cavia porcellus (domestic guinea pig). Its description in RNAcentral is "lncRNA (ENSCPOG00000030819.1)". Lineage: Eukaryota; Metazoa; Chordata; Mammalia; Rodentia; Caviidae. The record is from RNAcentral.